AUUGAACGCUGGCGGCAGGCCUAACACAUGCAAGUCGAGCGGAGCGGCGGACGGGUGAGUAAUGCCUAUGUAUCUGCCUGGUAGUGGGGGAUAACGUCCGGAAUCGGGCGCUAAUAUCGCAUAAUAUCAGAUGAGCCUAGGUCGGAUUAGCUAGCUGGUGGGGUAAAGGCCUACCGAGGCGCCGAACCGUAACUGGUUUGAGUGGAUGAUCAGUCACCCGGGAACUGGGACACGGUCCAGGAUCCUACGGGAGGCAGCGGUGGGGAAGAUUGGACAGUGGGCGAAAGCCAGAGCCAGCCAUGCCGCGUGUGUGAAACAGGGCUUCGGAUUGUAGAGCACUAUAAUUUGGGAGGCGUUACCAACAGAAUAAGCACCGGCUAACUUCGUGCCAGCAGCCGCGGUAAUAC
Molecule: ribosomal RNA, 407 nt
Filed under: uncultured bacterium
Lineage: Bacteria
Description: partial 16S ribosomal RNA
Rfam family: Bacterial small subunit ribosomal RNA
Source: RNAcentral